This 616-nucleotide ribosomal RNA is filed under the name Arthrobacter sp. N13_2. RNAcentral's name for it is "bacterial SSU rRNA". It matches the Rfam family "Bacterial small subunit ribosomal RNA", at positions 95 to 724 of the family's 1533-position model. Lineage: Bacteria; Bacillati; Actinomycetota; Actinomycetes; Micrococcales; Micrococcaceae. The record is from RNAcentral.
GUGGCGAACGGGUGAGUAACACGUGAGUAACCUGCCCUUGACUCUGGGAUAAGCCUGGGAAACUGGGUCUAAUACCGGAUAUGACUCCUCAUCGCAUGGUGGGGGGUGGAAAGCUUUUUGUGGUUUUGGAUGGACUCGCGGCCUAUCAGCUUGUUGGUGAGGUAAUGGCUCACCAAGGCGACGACGGGUAGCCGGCCUGAGAGGGUGACCGGCCACACUGGGACUGAGACACGGCCCAGACUCCUACGGGAGGCAGCAGUGGGGAAUAUUGCACAAUGGGCGAAAGCCUGAUGCAGCGACGCCGCGUGAGGGAUGACGGCCUUCGGGUUGUAAACCUCUUUCAGUAGGGAAGAAGCGAAAGUGACGGUACCUGCAGAAGAAGCGCCGGCUAACUACGUGCCAGCAGCCGCGGUAAUACGUAGGGCGCAAGCGUUAUCCGGAAUUAUUGGGCGUAAAGAGCUCGUAGGCGGUUUGUCGCGUCUGCCGUGAAAGUCCGGGGCUCAACUCCGGAUCUGCGGUGGGUACGGGCAGACUAGAGUGAUGUAGGGGAGACUGGAAUUCCUGGUGUAGCGGUGAAAUGCGCAGAUAUCAGGAGGAACACCGAUGGCGAAGGCAG